RNAcentral lists this transfer RNA (78 nucleotides) under Gemmatimonadota bacterium. RNAcentral describes it as "Gemmatimonadetes bacterium (marine metagenome) tRNA-Val". It matches the Rfam family "tRNA". From Rfam's summary of the family: Transfer RNA (tRNA) molecules are approximately 80 nucleotides in length. Their secondary structure includes four short double-helical elements and three loops (D, anti-codon, and T loops). The record is from RNAcentral. Lineage: Bacteria; Pseudomonadati; Gemmatimonadota.
GGGCGCUUAGCUCAGCCUGGUUAGAGCACCUGCCUUACAAGCAGGGGGUCGGAGGUUCGAGUCCCCCAUCGCCCACCA